Long non-coding RNA from Haliotis rufescens (red abalone), 165 nucleotides. RefSeq lists it as uncharacterized. Lineage: Eukaryota; Metazoa; Mollusca; Gastropoda; Lepetellida; Haliotidae. The record is from RefSeq and is a predicted model, not a curated record. The transcript is spliced from 3 exons.
AACAGCGCCAGCACAGAACAACAGAACAUCAUGAACUCCGCCAAAGUCACUGUCUUGUUCCUGAUCGCCAUCAGCAUUUCGAUUUCCAUUGCAAGCAACAAAAGAGAAAUGGAUAGAUCAGUAUCAACAUCAACAUCAGCUUCAACAUCAACAUCAACAUCAACA